RNAcentral lists this long non-coding RNA (1467 nucleotides) under Numida meleagris (helmeted guineafowl). Its description in RNAcentral is "lncRNA (ENSNMEG00000015020.1)". The record is from RNAcentral. Lineage: Eukaryota; Metazoa; Chordata; Aves; Galliformes; Numididae.
UGGAAGUAUUCACUAGAUAUUCACCAGCGUCCUUUGGCUCCUUUUGUCCAAGUCCAGACCACGUGCAGCAUUCCACCGGGACAGACGUGCGCUCACCUGAAGAUGUGCCUCUCACCUCCUUCUAUCCAAGAAAGAUGGCCCAGAAGAAGAGUUUACAGUAUGAAGAUAAAUGCUAUCAACAACACUGGAUCCUAGCUGUGCAUCCCUCUGAGACAAGAGCUCACCAUCUUUCCUGCUGCUGCCUGGGCCAUGUCAGUCUGCCUACCCCAUCCUCCCUGUGUCCCCAGCAGCUCCUGGGGAGCAUGUGCUGCACAAGGAACAAGAGGCCCUAAUGCAGCGGCCAACCCAAGGCCCUGUCACACAUCCAUGCUCAGUGCAGUUGUGUCGGUGCUGGCACCUGGCCCUGAGGGCAGGGAGCCCUGUGCCAGCCAUGAGCUCUGCGCCAGGAUGUUCUCCUCCAGGCACUCUGCUGGCGUCGCUGUGCUCAGGGCUGCCAAAGCUGCCUGCACGAACAAACACAGAGCUCUGGAACUGCCACCUGGCUGUCUCUCGAGCUCUCUUCUUUUAUUUAUCUCGGUAGCAGCAGCAGCCAAGGUUUGGAGCAGGCUGUGGCAUCAGGAGCUGGAGAAUCGCAGGAACAUCACUGGGCUCAGCAACCGGUGCUUCACACAUACAUAAUAAAGGCAAUGCUGAAUCAACCUCAUUCACAGCGGAGCAUGUGCAAGCAUGCACACUUCUUACAGGAGGCACACAAUGGCUCAUUUCCAGGAUGGGAUGCAUCCUACUCAGUGAGUGCAUGGUCUGGUGCCUUGCUGUCAGCCACCUUGAACCCCAGCUGGUGUCCCUUGUGCCACCACCCAGCUUCACCUGAGAGAGAGAGGAGAAGGGGUGCAAGGCUUUGCUGGCUGAUUCUGGGCUUUAUCCCAGCAAAGCAUAGUGGUUGGAGCAGGGAAGAGGAAAAGAAGCUGCUGUUUUUGGAGGGAAAACAUUACAUCCCUGGGACUCCUUGAUCAGCCUUCUGUCCAGCCCCUACUGCUUGCAUAUGCCAGGCAGCACAAGUUCUUUCCCAGAGUUUGGGUCUUUCUACAACAUAAAAGUGUUAUAAGCUACUCAUCUGCAGCUGAAUUGCUUUUCCUGGGCUAGGCGCAUUAAUUACUGCAGCAUGUGCUGCCAAAUUAAGAGUUUGGGGAAAAAAAUCAGUGAGUGCCAAGUAAUCCAUCUUAAAAAGCCACCUGCACUAGGAAAGGAAACAAAGGGUCUAGGGGUACCUGGAAACUUAACUUCACCAAAGGGGCAGCCAAUGGGUAGACUUUAGUCCUCCCUCUCUUCUUUUCCUCCUUCUUUGCUUUGCCUUUUGUCCUUUGCCUUUUCCUUGCUUUCCUUGUGUCCUUUCCUUUCGUUUUCAUUCUUCCCUGCCAAUUAGUGGUCUUAAAGUAACAGCAGCAAUAAAAGUGAGAAGAAGAAUCA